RNAcentral lists this unclassified non-coding RNA (263 nucleotides) under Hevea brasiliensis (rubber tree). The record is from RNAcentral. Lineage: Eukaryota; Viridiplantae; Streptophyta; Magnoliopsida; Malpighiales; Euphorbiaceae.
AUUCCUCCAAAAAUUCUCUCUUUCGAAGCUCAGCUAUGGUGAAUUCAAAAUCAAUCCACGGAGAUCCAACGGUUCAAAAUACCUCAUCUUUCACAAGUUCAGGUAGUGCAGGAGUUUGUAUGAUGAACAGCAAAUGGAGAGAUGAACAACACCCUUCUUUUAUCAAUUUUAUCUCUUCCUUCCUAGCUGCUAAUUCCUUUCGUCUCAACUUUGUCCCGAUUUCUCCCGAUUGCAUUUUCAACUGUGGGGGAUUGUCAGUGGCA